This is a long non-coding RNA of Drosophila montana, 1680 nucleotides long. RefSeq lists it as uncharacterized. The record is from RefSeq and is a predicted model, not a curated record. The transcript has 4 exons. NCBI's taxonomy places the organism in Eukaryota, Metazoa, Arthropoda, Insecta, Diptera, Drosophilidae.
AUUAAACUACAAAACAGACCACACGAGCCACAGGGCCAGCACAAAAGAAUUUCAAUUUCAAGCUCAGCGUCUUGGUCUUUGAGGAGUGGAACAACGCGGCCCAACAACAAACCAAACCAAACCAAACCAAAGCAAACCGAACAGCACGAGCGCUCACCUUGGACUGACGUGCACAGGUAACGUUUACCAUUCCUUAAGCACUUGGCCGCUCGGUUGGCUGUUAGCUGCUGCCGCUGCGACUGCGACUGCGACUGCGCACCGACUGCGCAACGACUGCGACGCAUUGGUCGUAACCUGUUGUUGACACUGGAAUCGGGAUUGGUCGUCGUCUGGGCCGCGGAAAACUGCAGCUAAUGCGAAUGAUGAACGCCCAAAACAGCACCAAUAAAGUUGAACCAGCGUGCAUAAGCGACGCAUAAGUCUGAUACAAAAUGCGUAUAUAUUCCGUAUUACAAAUUUAAAGUUAUUUAAAAUCUGAAAAUAUCUUGUCAGCUGUCGGUCGUCAAUGCAGGCGUAGCAUGCAAAUUUAUCCAAAUAUUGUACCAGAAACUGCAACGUAAUUCAAUUUAAUUUAAAAACAUGUACACCAGUUUAUACAAAAUUGUUUAAAUAAAUAUCGAAAAGUCUUGUUUCAAAUGGUUUUCACUUACAAAUUGGCCAUUCAAUAUAGGAUUUUUAAGAGCUACGAAAUAAUUUCCGACGCAUUUGAUCAACAUUUAUCAUCUCAACUUUUUCCCGAAGAACGUCAAUUUUGAAAGGCUCAAGGAUUGCACAUGAAAGAGAAUAGAAAUUUGCAAGUUGGGCUGAAUUAAGCAAUAUUCAUUGGUUGACUUACAAACUUUCUAGACUUACCUGAACUAAAAACAAACUCGUAUCCAAGUUUUGUAUGCUGCAUAAUUUUUUUAUAAUCAUAUGUUCAUAUUUGUAAUUUAAAAACUCCCUGUCAUAUGCCUUGACAGCAAUUUAGACCACAGCAGGAACCAAGUAAACAAAGAAUCAACAUCAAAAGUACCAUAACCAAUGCAAUUAUACAACAUACAACGAAAGAUAAAUACAUACAAUUUUGUUUUCCUGUUGCUACGGCUACUGAGAUCUGCAAACAAUCGAUGAAGUCAAUCUAAUUGAUUUAUAUGUGCACAUGAAAGGAACCCAUCCCCUAGAGGAAAUAUUCCAAUUCCAAAAGGAUAAGGACAGACCUUUGCAGGCUUAAUUAACUAAAGUGCUGGAUUGUUAUAAAAGGCAUUCGCUAGAAGAGAAUAACUUGCUGAAGAGUUACAAUGGAUAUACCAAGAACAACCGUAAAGGCAGUCAUAAAAGAGACAGCACGCGACCCGAGAAAGAAGAAGAGCCCCUCUAUUAUUUUUAUAAUUAUCGGGAUUAUUAUGUUAAUAUUAUUUUUAUGCUGUUGCUGUGUUAUUAUGAUACUCUGCUGCCCCUGUCUAGCCAUAAUGGGUUGUUGUGGCCUCUGUUGUUCUGGAGAUGAGGGUUACGAGGAAUAAAUCGCUGAGCCUCAGAAGCUGCAACACGUUCGGAUACUGAUUCAAACAAGCAAGCAAGCAACAAGAAGUCUGGCCACACUGUACAUAAACCAAAUUCAAUUGAAAUAUUGCAGUCCAAAUUUAUUGUAAUAAACGUUAGUUAAUUGGAAAGUUAAAGCAAAUAUAUUAAAAUUAAAAAUCA